This 332-nucleotide long non-coding RNA is filed under the name Phoenix dactylifera (date palm). Its description in RNAcentral is "long non-coding RNA (PDAC_LNC021893)". Lineage: Eukaryota; Viridiplantae; Streptophyta; Magnoliopsida; Arecales; Arecaceae. The record is from RNAcentral.
UCCGGGCCGCCUUGGCCGCAGCACCCCUAAUCCAGGAAGAAGAGAGAGAUCUCUACCCUAUUAGAAGAAGAGAGUUUCUUUCUCUUCUUUCUGUCUCCUCUCUCUCUUCUCUCUCUUUUCCUCUUUCAUCUCUCUCCGUCUCUCUCUUUCUCUCCAGGGAUUUUAGUUCAAAGACCCGUCUUGUGGUGGAGGCCCUGAAUAAUAAAAACUAAGGAAGGUCGCGGAAGAAGAAGAUGCAACUCGAAAGAUAAUAAAAUACCUAAAUAACUUGGAUCCAAAUUUAAAUCUUAAAGUUUCAUAUAGAACCAAAUAUAGUUAAUCUAAAACCAAAU